Molecule: ribosomal RNA, 120 nt
Filed under: Octodon degus (degu)
Lineage: Eukaryota; Metazoa; Chordata; Mammalia; Rodentia; Octodontidae
Source: RNAcentral
CUCUAUGGCCUUACCACCCUGAAUGUGCCUAUGUCAUCUGAUCUCGGAAGCUAGGCAGGGUCGGGCCUGGUUAGUACUUAGAUGGGAGAAUUUGCCAGGUAAACCAAAUAUUUCUUGGGU